This 253-nucleotide ribosomal RNA is filed under the name uncultured bacterium. RNAcentral describes it as "partial 16S ribosomal RNA". It matches the Rfam family "Bacterial small subunit ribosomal RNA", at positions 524 to 776 of the family's 1533-position model. The record is from RNAcentral.
UACGGGGGGGGCAAGCGUUGUUCGGAAUUACUGGGCGUAAAGGGCUCGUAGGCGGCCAACUAAGUCAGACGUGAAAUCCCUCGGCUUAACCGGGGAACUGCGUCUGAUACUGGAUGGCUGGAGUUCGGGAGAGGGAUGCGGAAUUCCAGGUGUAGCGGUGAAAUGCGUAGAUAUCUGGAGGAACACCGGUGGCGAAGGCGGCAUCCUGGACCGACACUGACACUGAGGAGCGAAAGCCAGGGGAGCAAACGGG